This 72-nucleotide transfer RNA is filed under the name Neurospora crassa. RNAcentral describes it as "tRNA-Gln (CTG) (tRNA-Gln-CTG-1-1)". It matches the Rfam family "tRNA". From Rfam's summary of the family: Transfer RNA (tRNA) molecules are approximately 80 nucleotides in length. Their secondary structure includes four short double-helical elements and three loops (D, anti-codon, and T loops). RNAcentral also lists the same sequence under 21 other names. The record is from RNAcentral. Lineage: Eukaryota; Fungi; Ascomycota; Sordariomycetes; Sordariales; Sordariaceae.
GGUUCUAUAGUGUAGCGGUUAUCACUCCGGAUUCUGAUUCCGGCAACCCCGGUUCGAUUCCGGGUAGGACCU